Small nuclear RNA from Phodopus roborovskii (desert hamster), 104 nucleotides. NCBI's taxonomy places the organism in Eukaryota, Metazoa, Chordata, Mammalia, Rodentia, Cricetidae. The record is from RefSeq and is a predicted model, not a curated record.
GUGCUGGCUUCAGUAGCACAUAUACUAAAACUGGAAUGAUACAAAGAUUAGCAUGGCCCCUGCACAAGGAAGAAUCAGGGUAACUUUAGAGGUUCCAGGCUGGG